Rhipicephalus microplus (southern cattle tick) is the source of this 840-nucleotide long non-coding RNA. The record is from RefSeq and is a predicted model, not a curated record. Lineage: Eukaryota; Metazoa; Arthropoda; Arachnida; Ixodida; Ixodidae.
UCCCCCGUGCGGGAUCUGUCAAUAAAACGAAAACGAUUACAAUGGUGUGAGAGCUUCGAUGGAACGGGUGACUAUACUGCUCUUCAUGCUCUCAUUCACAACCACAUAUGCGUUUUCAGACUGGUGUAAUGCGACCUACAACGAACGCCUGGAGCGAGCCAUUGCUGGGGUACUGAAUGGUAUCCAAGAAGUACAUGUCUCUGAAAUGGAAGUAGGAAGGUCCAGGACCAGGAUCUCUAGGCUUCGAUGGUUACAGGGUUGUCGGUCUUGGUGGGUUGCGACGCCACGGAGAUCUUCGCACACUGUGCGAAAACGAAACUCAGGUGGUGAGCUUUGACUUAGUGGCAGAAGAACCCGUGGUCUGCUCGUUCUUGAAGACGGGUAGCGAAGACAGCCCUUUGGAAAUCGCAGCACACAAUCUCAGAGUAACCACGCAUCUCCGGUUCAUCGCUGGCCCUCCGGAUGACAACGGUGUUGAAGCAGACCGAAGGGUUCUGGACCAGUACGAUGGGCCUCUUGUUACGACAUUACGUACUGGGCGUGUCUCAGUGAACGUCGACGAUGCUUCUGGCAGCGCGGGCAAUGCAACAGUGGGUCUACUGAGACAUUUGGCUCUGGCUGCCAUUCAAGACUCUUGGGAAGAACUAUUUGUGUCACAGUUUGUCAAAGUCCUGAAGAACCGUUAGUCUGAACCUAAAUCAAACAGAAAUAACUGGAGAUAUAUGGCACAGGAGUAAGUGGCACCAGCACUAUACUUUAUUGGUGCUCACAUUUAUAGCUGCCAGAAUGUUUCAUGUUUUGGUCUAACUUUAGGAAAGACAGUUGUGAUCUUACAAAUCU